RNAcentral lists this transfer RNA (65 nucleotides) under Culex quinquefasciatus (southern house mosquito). RNAcentral describes it as "tRNA-Ser". The record is from RNAcentral. Lineage: Eukaryota; Metazoa; Arthropoda; Insecta; Diptera; Culicidae. RNAcentral also lists the same sequence under 3 other names.
AAUUAGAAAUAUAAAUGGAAUUAAACCAUUAAAGAUAAAAGUUAGCAGCUUUUUCUUGAUCAACA